AUGACUUCUCUUAAUGGAUUGUUUACUUUGAAUUUAUCAUGGAAUCACCUGAGUGGAAAAAUUCCUAGGAACAUUGGGGCUAUGAAAUCACUAGAAUCACUCGACUUAUCAAGGAACAACCUUUUCGGUGAAAUCCCAACAAGCUUGUCAGAUUUGACGUAUCUAAGCUCCUUGGACUUGUCAUACAACAAUCUUGUAGGAAGAAUUCCGACAGGACGUCAACUUGACACCCUCUACGCCGAGAACCCGUCCAUGUACAGCGGCGAUAAUGGUCUUUGUGGGCCUCCUCUUAAAAAGAAUUGCCCAGGCAACAAUGCUUUAGAGCAUGGUGAUCAGCAGAGAAGAGAAAAUGGUUAUGAUCCAGUGGUGUUCUUCUACUUUGGGCUGACGGCGGGCUUUGUGGCGGGACUCUGGAUUGUCUUUUGUGCUCUUCUGUUCAAAAGAGCAUGGAGGAAUGCUUAUUUCCGCCUCUUUGACAAGCUACAUGACAAUGUGUACGUGUUUGUUGUUGUUACUUGGGGCAUGAUAACCAGUAAGACAACUACAAGUUAA
Molecule: ribosomal RNA, 552 nt
Filed under: Triticum aestivum (bread wheat)
Lineage: Eukaryota; Viridiplantae; Streptophyta; Magnoliopsida; Poales; Poaceae
Description: partial small subunit ribosomal RNA
Source: RNAcentral